This is a long non-coding RNA of Octodon degus (degu), 1210 nucleotides long. RefSeq lists it as uncharacterized. The transcript is spliced from 3 exons. Lineage: Eukaryota; Metazoa; Chordata; Mammalia; Rodentia; Octodontidae. The record is from RefSeq and is a predicted model, not a curated record.
UUAGUCUGUCCUCUCCCCCACCAGGCCGGGCCCCAGAGCUCCAUCCAGGUGAGACCUAGCUGAGAAGGGGUGGAGACGCCCCAUCCUGCGCCUUUCCCUUUUCCGGUCGGCGCUGGGCAGGUGCCACGUCACCUGGGGCCUGGGCAUGGCUCACCGCCAUCCUGGGCUGGGUGCUCCCCACCGAAUCCCAGCGGGGAGCUGCUCAGCAUAUAACAAAGAAAGAUCUCGAUCUUGGCAAAGUGAGCCAAGAGGCAGCUGAGAGACCGGAUUUGCUCGGGCUCACCUCCUCCAGGGUUUCUAAUGGGAAAAGAGGUGACAUUUGGGACCCGUGGGCCCUCUUCUUGCUCAUUUCAGCCAUCGCCCUCACUCAUCUCUGGGACAGCACUGACAAAGGUGGAGGUGGACUCCUAAAAGAGCCACAGCCUCAGGACCAACUUUGAAAUUAGAGACCACACAAAACCAAAACACACUUCAUGAAGAAGCAAGUUCCUCUCCUCCGCCCCCACGCGUGACCGGCAGCCAGCCACCGCGCCGAGACCAGCGCGUGGGCCAAUCAGCAGCGCCCAUCCGAGCUCCCUCCCCGCACACACCCGGAAGAGCAGUCUUUCCAGAGCUGCGACCCCAAGGCCCCAGGGCUGCCUGGCCUCAGGCCUCAAACCCAAGCCCCGCCUCUUUCUCCAAGAACCUCCCAGUGUACCUGCCCCUGGGGUUUAACUGGUCCUCCCUCCUUCGUUUCUGCCAGAGCCAGGUUGACUCACUGCCAGGAACCUUUGCUCCUUCCUCCUCUCCCCCCCCAACAAUCCCAGUCACUCUUCCCAACAUUCCCAGAGCAGUAUCCCUGGAGCUGCCACUCCCUGGCUCGCCCAGCACGACGAUGGCUCCUUCUCUGCAGACCUGCAGUUUACCCAAAGCCGAGCACAUUCUUUUCCUCUCUAAGGCCUCACUCAGAUUUGGGGCCUCUACCUUGCUCUAGAGGCCGGGGGACAUGUUAACUGCCCCCACCACAUCUCCUACAUCUACUUGUGAACUUGCUCAGCAGGUACAACCCACAGAGAUGCAGAGAAACAGAGGGCAUGUAGCACCUGCUUACUUUCCAUAAGAGAUGGAAGUUCUCAGUGACAGUAAAUGAAAAGCCUGUUGGAUUAGAAAACAUUAAAUGGAAAACUUUCUCAAACAGGAAAUUGUUGUGAAAUAUCAAUGUACUGAAUAA